UACAGAGGGGGCAAGCGUUAUUCGGAAUUAUUGGGCGUAAAGGGCGCGUAGGCGGCAUGGCAAGUGGAUGGUGAAAUCCCUCGGCUUAACCGAGGAACUGCCGUCCAAACUGCUUCGCUUGAGACCGGGAGAGGUGAGUGGAAUUCCCAGUGUAGCGGUGAAAUGCGUAGAUAUUGGGAGGAACACCAGUGGCGAAGGCGGCUCACUGGACCGGUACUGACGCUGAAGCGCGAAAGCGUGGGGAGCAAACGGG
This 253-nucleotide ribosomal RNA is filed under the name uncultured bacterium. RNAcentral describes it as "partial 16S ribosomal RNA". It matches the Rfam family "Bacterial small subunit ribosomal RNA", at positions 524 to 776 of the family's 1533-position model. The record is from RNAcentral.